AUUGAACGCUGGCGGAAUGCUUAACACAUGCAAGUCGAACGGCAGCACGGACUUCGGUCUGGUGGCGAGUGGCGAACGGGUGAGUAAUGUAUCGGAACGUGCCCAGUCGUGGGGGAGAACGUAGGGAAAAUUACGCUAAUACCGCAUACGAUCUAUGGAUGAAAGCGGGGGACCGUAAGGCCUCGCGCGAUUGGAGCGGCCGAUGACGGAUUAGGUAGUGGGUGGGGUAAAGGCCCACCAAGCCGACGAUCUGUAGCUGGUCUGAGAGGACGACCAGCCACACUGGAACUGAGACACGGUCCAGACUCCUACGGGAGGCAGCAGUGGGGAAUUUUGGACAAUGGGCGCAAGCCUGAUCCAGCCAUUCCGCGUGCAGGAUGAAGGCCCUCGGGUUGUAAACUGCUUUUGUACGGAACGAAAAGGCUCUGGUUAAUACCUGGGGCUCAUGACGGUACCGUAAGAAUAAGCACCGGCUAACUACGUGCCAGCAGCCGCCGUAA
Molecule: ribosomal RNA, 500 nt
Filed under: uncultured bacterium
Lineage: Bacteria
Description: partial 16S ribosomal RNA
Rfam family: Bacterial small subunit ribosomal RNA
Source: RNAcentral